RNAcentral lists this long non-coding RNA (2923 nucleotides) under Malus domestica (apple). Its description in RNAcentral is "long non-coding RNA (MDOM_LNC013632)". The record is from RNAcentral. Lineage: Eukaryota; Viridiplantae; Streptophyta; Magnoliopsida; Rosales; Rosaceae.
GAGGUGGGUCUGAGGAACCUCUCGAAGAUGGCCAUGACUAAGAACAUGGAGAUGAGAAUGGCAGUGGCUACGAACCCAAAAGAUACCGCAUUGACAGAGUUGUUGAAGGCAGGGGAAUGAGGAGAGGAGGACUGCACGGAUGGGAUCUGAGUAUGGGGGGAUUUGGUUUUGGGUUUGGGGAAGACAGGAACGGGGAAGAAAGGAUGAGUGGGAUAAGGGGUGGGUCCCACAUGCAAAAAAAAUUAAAUGAUUUUAUUUUUUUAAUAUUUAAUUAAUUUUUUAAAAGAGAAUGGAUCCCAUCUCAAGCCACGUUACUAUUUAAACUGACGGAAGGUAUGAAAUUGUAACAAAUUCGUAGAUGAAAUAUGAUAUUGAAAUUUUUUAAAGAUAGGAUAUGAAACUGUAAUUGUCCCAAUAUUUAAGGUAGUUUUAUGUAAUUUACCAAAAAAUAUAUAUAUAAAAACUCCAAUUCGUUUCAACUUUCAAGAUAUUACAACAAUAAAAAUAACCAAUUAACCCGUAAAUACCAAUUUUUCUGUGACUUUUCUUGAUAUAUGCGACUUUCUUCCUUUAAUUUUUGCACGUAGAAUAGCUUACUUUUGUCCAUCAAACUAUGGUCCAUGUCCUUCUAAUUUUUUUACCAAAAAGUAUACAGAUAUAUUAAUCAUAGUAUAACUUAAGAAUAAUGUAGAAUCCACAUGACAUUUGGUUCAACUUGCAACCAAAGCAAAAUCAAUAUUUCAAUAUUGCGGAAAGUAGAAGCAAAGAACGUGCUCAUACAGCAAACUACAAAGUACAAACAAAAAAAACUUGAGUAUUUUAUUGUCAUUUUAAAUCGAAGUAUUAUUGUAAUAUUAUUUCGUCGAUUGCUGUUAUAUUUAUUAUUGCCCUUUAUGUUUUAAAAGAAGUUUAAAUUCAGUUGGCGAACCCAAGCUUGAGCCUGGAGAUAUCCGUCUGUGUGCCCUUUUCAUGCAUGCCAGCGUUUUGAAGACAACAUACUGCGUACAUAUAUUGUCUCUGGCGCGCUGUGCAUGGCUGUAUUAGUGUUUAAUUAAUUAACUUCACCCCGGUUCACAAAUUAAGAUUAAUUAUUAAUCACUAGUGGUUCUAUGCUUGGUAGUUGCUACACGUUAUGAAUAGUAGUGACCAAAAGACUAGAACGAUCUUAUAAAUGGGUUUUAAAUUUUGUCUCACGCUGCCACUUAGUACUACGGUUUAAUAAUAUUCAUCUUCACUUGUAAGUGAGAGGUAUCAGAUUCGAUUUUCGUCAAAAGUGAAUUUGAACCACAUUAUUGCUAGUCCAUUGUGAAACCCAACUGCCCUUCCCCUUAAGGUAUAUAAUAUCGUUUGUUAAAAAAAAAUUAAAAUCUUGCCUUACGUUAUCACUAUAUUUGCUUUCUGUUUGACAACCGAUAAAAUAAUUAUAUUAAAUUUAUUUAAAUUACCAUUCAAAUUUAGAUGUAGAGAGUUAAAACAUGCCUCUUCAUUCAUUUGCAUCUCUCAUAUAAAAUGUCGUGGAUUGAUCAUGGUUUUUAUUCGAUUGACUAAAUAUAUGCAUAUAGACGGAUUUAGAUCUCAUCCGGAUUCAAAUUCUUAAUCAUUCAUCAUAAAUCGUGCGGUUAGAAAUCAUUUAAAUUUUAUUAUUUAAAAUUAAACACAAAUAUUAACUAAUGAAGACUAAUCGCACAAUAUACGAUGAACGAUUAAAACAUGAGAAUCCUUAGGAUCUGCUUAUAGACAUCUUUCCACGGAUACCACGUCCGAUCGAUUUGCGUGGUCAGUUCCAUUCCCUCCCCAUCUUAUCUGUAACGGAAAGCAAUAAAUAAUUAAAACACCAACUAUUUCUAGUCAACUGAACCAGUAUUAAAAAGACUUAUUUUUUGAGAUGAUAAAUCAAUUUAUUUUGUUGUUAAUGAGUACUCGUUAAGAAAUAUUUAAUUUGAUGUCAUUAUAAUAUAAAUGUGAAAUUGGUAAUAGUGAUGAUUGUGUGAAAUAAAAACAAACUAAAUUGAUCUUAAUAAGUACCUAUUAACAAUCCUAUGAGUUGAUUUACUACCUCUACCCAAAACCACCGAUCCUUGUUCAAAAUCUAUCAUGAAAUUAUUAUAUUUUUAGACCACACUAGAAAAUUAUGCCAGUCAUUAUUUAUUCAUAAUAAUUGACGUAAUAUGUCAACUUCAAUUGUGGCAUAACAUCGUUCAUUAACUAUGAGUAUAUACAAACUGUCUCAGAUUAGAAGUUUACUAUAUUUUGCAUGGAUUAUAAAAAGUUGAGUCACGACUCAUACUAAUUGGUUUUAUGACUAAACCUCAACUUUCUUUGUUGACGUAAUACCUCUAACACUAUUUUUCAUAGUGUGACAAAAUUACAUUUUCUAAUGUCAUUUCCAAGGGCCAGUCCAAUUCCCUAAGGGUAGUACUAUGAUGCUAUCCACAUAUUCGUAUUUACUUCGUACACACACCUCUCAAUUUUCGAUUAUCGAAUUGAAUAAAUUGAAAAAGAUUAAUAGCAAAAAAUGAGUGUGAAUAACAUUUUCCUUCCUAAAAGAAAUGAAUAGAUGAUGGGUAAAUUACACAAAACUACCUCAACUAUGGGUCGAACGACACUUUCAUACCUCAUCUUUUAAAAUGAUAAUGUCAUACCUCAACUUACGAAUUUGUUCCAAUGUCAGACCUCUGUCAAUUUUCUGUUAAUUUCUCUGUUAAGUGUUGACGUGGCUAGAGACGGGAUCCACUCACUAAUCCAACUGGACUAAAAAAUAAUUAAAUAUUAUAAAAUUAAAAUUAUUUUUUGUAUAAAAUUAAAAUAUUAUAAAAUUAUUAAGAAAUUAUGGGACCUAUCCCCAUCCCCUACCUCUUCCCAUCCCCUACCUCUUCCCGUCCUUUUUGAACCCAAACCCUAACCCUAAUUCCUCAUUUUCAAA